CCCCCAGCACAGUGUUCAGCACUGGAGGGAGAAUCAAUAUUCAUUUAGGCCCCUACACAGGCCUGGUUCCUGAUGGAGUGAGUGGGAGAGCAGUACGACGGCCGAGAUACACAACGGACAACCGCUGAAAGUGGAGAGACAAAGCGCUCAUUCAUCAAAAGAUCAUCCCUCUAACGGACACACGCACACACACACGCACAAACACAGUUCUCCGAAUGCUCUUUUUUUUCCCAUUCCGCAGAGAUGAACACAAUUUUAACCAAAUUUGCGUUCACAGUGAGCAUCCACACGUCGCCUGUGAGCCAAGUUUGGCCAAAAACUGUCACGUUCUCUGUUUUGGAAAUCGGGUUUAGUGUCAGAAUGUGGUAAGUGGCGUGUGUGAGCGGUGGUGGCAAGAAGUUCCUUUUUCAAAUAGUCAAUGUAGGUGGUGCUUUCUCACCUUUUUUUGGCUCACAUCAUGUCUCUUAUCGACCAAAGAGUUCUUUUUUAAAGGUAAGAAAGGGUGGAAUCAGAGUAGUGGGAGGAAAAUCAGAAAGAAAUGUAUGAUGUAAAAAACUAGCUCUGGUUUUUUCCAAUGAUAAUCUUUGAACCCCCCCCUCCGGAUACCGAUUUGUUCUGUGAAGUGGAGCCAAUUGAUUGAACCCGAGAUGAUGGUGGUUUCUGGUGUUGAAUGAUUCCUCAUUACAGGACUUUGAAUGCGCUGUAUCACAUUUUAUCGUUUGGUCGGCGUUUGGAUAUCAUGCUCUUUUAAUACUAUAAUAUCUAUAAAUCACAUUACUGAGCUGAGUGGAGUUCGUGGCCUCCACAAACAUCCGCAGUUCCCUGUGUGCUCGACAGGAAUGUCCAUCUGCUCAUCCUACACGUCCGGCUGAGUGAUUGUGUGCAGUGUUCAGCGCAUCUCCACCCUGCUGCAUGUCACUAAUCAGGGCUGGAUGGCUCAUUAUUAACUGCAGCAGGCCACUCCUGCGACAUGGAAGGGAGAGGAAUUUAGCAGCUGUCACCCAGUGAUGAGUUCAUUUCCUGCAGGCCGCCGCUCUGAAGAGUCCUGCUGCAGCGGACCAGAAGGCCGAUGUAAACCUGCUGCUGAUGCUUAAUUGGAGAGCCAGAAAAGGGCAGGAGGAGGAGGAGGAGGAGGUGGAGGUAUUAACCGUUACUUAAUACUUUAAGUAACGGUUAAAAAAAGAGAAACCAGGAGGUUGUUUAGUUGGUUUCCCAUGCAACACAUUCAAAGCAGCUUUGUGAAGCUAGAAGUAUGUCGGAUGCUUUAAGUUCAAAAUGCUGCUCACUAUUUCUACAUCGUAGCCAUGAUUGAAUGAAAAGGGAUAACAAAGGAGGGUGGACAUAUUAUCCAAAAUAAAUACUAACGUUGUGUUGAGUGUGACCAAAAUAGGUGGAAAAGGAGCCGUACCAGCUUAGAAUGUGAUGCUGUGAGCGUUGUGUUUUCAGCUGUUCUGCCCUCCACAGCCUGAAAGGUCAAUCAAAGCACGUCUCGCAAACACUCCUCCUCUUAACGGUUCCUUUGUGUCUCCAUUUUACCUCCAGUGAACUAACUCAACAAAUAGAAAGGAUUACAGUCAUAAAUAACAGACUUUUCUUUUGUGAUGAUGUGCUUUUAUUUUUAUGAUAAUAGCUAAAUCUUAAUUUAAUAAGUAGCUACUUUGUUUCUACUCAAUAUGUAAAACAUCUACUUUGUUUCUACAGAGAGUUACUAUUAUUUUUCACCGAGAAAAGAAGGUUAGUCUGUUUAAUAGUUAGUUUUUUUUAUUACUCACUCACAUAUGGAAAACAGGUUUAUUUUAAUGAUAUAUGGACUUAUGUAAAGUUUGCAAAACGUAUUUUGUCAGAGCAAUUUAAAUAUUUGGGUGUAUGCAAUUUGAACAAGAAUGACAAAUAAUUAGUAGAAUGUGACGCAUUUGCUUUUAGUCUCAUUAUAACAUCACGAUGAUCUUGUAUGAUACCGUACGACAUCUUUGAAAUAUGAAGGAAAACAGAACCGAGACUAUAAGCCUGUUUUUGAAGUGGCGGUCAGGUCUUUUAUCGAGUGAGGCGGUCCAGUGACUCCAGUGGACGGUGGGACUCCCAGCUCGGUUCCCAGGAACUCUGAUCUGUCUCUGAAACAGCUGGAUGGACCUGGAGGCAUCUGCUUCGUGGUAGGUUCAUCCCAGUCACGUGGAUUGGCUCCAACUCAAACACACUGCAUACUGUGAUCCCGGUUUCCCCUUUCGUUCCCCACAGACUGACUUGGAAGUACUAAAGUGUGGAGACAUCCCACAUGUGGACAAACACACAAAACGACUUAACUAUACCGAGCUUCUCUGUGGUUUAGAGAUGCUUUUGUUUCUCAAAUCUAUUUAAGUGUUGCAUCUGUUUACCAUUCAAAGACGAGUUGCAUUCUACUGGAAUCACAGUUGUCGUGUUUAAGUUUAUUGCGCUCUGACUAUCCUCCCGUCGAAGUCCUGACAAGCUUUUAUGGGUACGUACCCAUAAAAGCUUGUAAAAGUUCCACGUGGUUCUGGCAUCUUGCAGGCGGAACAGCUGGUGCUAAAAAGAUUCUUGUUCUCUGUUUGUUGUUCCUCUGAGUUUGUACCCUAUGGUUGAAUGCACUGUACUUUUACUUUGUGCAGGAUAUUUACUUGUAAUGUGGUACUUUUACGUUGUGGCACUGCUGCACUGGGUGGACUGGCACACACGCGCACACACACGCACACUUAAAGGCACACUCUCGUACAUGGAAACAGAAACUUUCCCCCUCCCCGGGGGCAACUCUCAUCACUCUCCUGGGGACAACUGAGAGGGACAGCAGUGAGGAUUGGGGUCUCUUUCUCGGUCCGCUCUCUCUGCUUCCUGAGUAUGAUAAAUAUGGCAAUUCUGUUUAGUCGCCAUCUAUAGAAAACAUAUCAGCCCGGGGAUCAUUUUCUUAAUGUCCCUGCUAUUAGUUUUGGCUUCCCUUUGGCAGUAUUAGCAUGCCGGCUGAUAUGCUCUGCUUGUGUGUGUGUGUGUGUGUGUGUGUGUGUGUGUGUCCUCGGGGCUGCAGGUACAAUUCUAUUAAAGGCGACUUGUUUGUUUAUUUCCUGUCUGUCUCCCGGUACAUGUGCCCCGCUCGCCACCACUCCGAACCCCGGUGUGUGUUCACAUCGCUGCAAACGUGGACGGGCCGCCUAACGCGCCAUGUACAAUCACAAUCCAAUGUUGUUUAUUGUCAUUUUUUUGUUGUGGUUGUUUUUGCUGUAAAUCGAUAGUUGUUGGAGGCGGGGCGGGAGGGGGGUGAAGUGCAGGGGAAGCCACGGUUCAGUUACGGUUCAUCUCUUCCAUGGGAGUUGCUAUGGGAAAAC
This is a long non-coding RNA of Gasterosteus aculeatus aculeatus (three-spined stickleback), 3332 nucleotides long. The record is from Ensembl. NCBI's taxonomy places the organism in Eukaryota, Metazoa, Chordata, Actinopteri, Perciformes, Gasterosteidae.